UAUGACCUCUAAAAGUUUUCAGAAUUCUGUUUGUUUAUGGAAUUCUGAAAGUUGAUGAUGUACCAUAGUGGAAUACUUUUACAUUUAUUGUACUGGGUAUUCCAAAGGCCCUUUUUAUCCAAAAACUCAUGUCUUUUAGUGCUGGAAAUUUUUCUUUUGUUAUUUUCAUAUUUUUCUUCCCCUUUUUUCUCUUUUCGCUUUCUGGAAUGCCUGUUGGUCAAAUGUCAGAUUUUCUGACUCAUUCUAUACAAUUAGAAAGCACACCCAAGUUUCACUGUGGAACUACUCCAGUGAGCCCUUCAGUGUGGUCAUCUCUGGGCAGAGAUACUAUAGAUUUACUGCUAACAUUGGGAAUUGGAAACUAGAAUCUCUUCUGAGAUUCUAAAAGCAGGGUGUUUCUGCUGCCAUCCUUGCUGCCCUUUGCCACAUGCUUCUUCACUUUAUGUGUUUUCAAAUCACAGUUGCCCAUGGGUGUGUCUGAUGAGGGAAAGGUCACAUACCUGUACCCUAGCUGCAAAAGAGCUGGAGAUUUCAGGCUCGUUGUUAAGGGUCUGCGGAUUCAUAAGGUCAGAAAUUCCAUGAACACAGAAAAAGUAUUCAAAAGGUACUCAGCAGCUAGUGAAUUCAACUGGGGACAGUUGGAACUUCAGGAUGUUUGAUGACUGGGGAGAGGGUCUUUGUUAAGAAAAAGCAAUAAUAUGAAAUAUUAAUGCUUUCCAAUUUUAUCAAGAUGAUAGCAUUUUUGUGUACUGAAUUACAUGCAUAUUACAUACAUAAUAAAAUUGUAAAACUCUGUCGUUUGUUUUCUUUGCUUGUUUUUUGUUUGUUUGGUUUGAGGUUUUUUUUUUUUUUUUUAACUUA
This 861-nucleotide long non-coding RNA is filed under the name Homo sapiens (human). RNAcentral's name for it is "non-protein coding lnc-HYAL4-4:8". Lineage: Eukaryota; Metazoa; Chordata; Mammalia; Primates; Hominidae. The record is from RNAcentral.